CCUGGCGGCACUAGCGCGGUGGUCCCACCUGACCCCAUGCCGAACUCAGAAGUGAAACGCCGUAGCGCCGAUGGUA
Molecule: ribosomal RNA, 76 nt
Filed under: Klebsiella pneumoniae
Lineage: Bacteria; Pseudomonadati; Pseudomonadota; Gammaproteobacteria; Enterobacterales; Enterobacteriaceae
Also listed under: 11 other names
Source: RNAcentral